This is a long non-coding RNA of Oncorhynchus tshawytscha (Chinook salmon), 549 nucleotides long. RefSeq lists it as uncharacterized. The transcript is spliced from 3 exons. The record is from RefSeq and is a predicted model, not a curated record. Lineage: Eukaryota; Metazoa; Chordata; Actinopteri; Salmoniformes; Salmonidae.
UAUUCUUUAGUAAAGGUUGAAUAGUCUAUUGUUCAGAUAUUAGCCCUCCUCCCCAACUUGCAACAAAGUGCUGUUCCCAUCUCAUUCCUUUCCCUCUUCCACGCAUCAUCAUUCUGCUCCUGAGUGUCUCGCUUGUGGACAUGCUGGCAGGAUAUGGCAGCAUCUUCGGUUGUGCUUCAAGAAUUCUGAAUACAUAGCACUUUUGUAUGAAGGUGUGGUUAUUCACAGGCAAAUUGUUAUAUGCCAUGGAGGUACAUUUGUGUCUUUUUGUCAAGAGCAAAACCUUUUUUAUUUUCAAUCAAAAAUAUUUAUUCUGAAAGCAACUUUUUUCCAACACAAAGGAAGUCAAAGCAGACACCUACGAAGAUGGCAUCUCAGAGAGCGAGCUGACCAAGGGGUAGAAAAUGUAGAUCAUGGCAGAUGUUCAUUGUCUGGGGAACAGGCAGUGGAAGCUUUAUUGCUGGCAAAGUGUCCAUAACCAGAGGUUAUAUCAGCUGUUUUGGUGAACCCCUCCCGCAUCUGAACUGGCUGACACAGAGGGCACAGCAU